Drosophila miranda is the source of this 573-nucleotide long non-coding RNA. RefSeq lists it as uncharacterized. The transcript has 2 exons. Lineage: Eukaryota; Metazoa; Arthropoda; Insecta; Diptera; Drosophilidae. The record is from RefSeq and is a predicted model, not a curated record.
UUAAUUUUUUGGUUUUUUUGAAAAUAUUCCCACCAAAGUAGGCACAAAAUUGUGUGUUAAACGUUUUAAAAUAUACCUUGUUGGGUAUAACAAAACCUGAGGCCCUGAGGGUCCUCUAAGAAUCGAUAUCGAUUACGUACAAGGGGGGGCGGGAGGUAAUGGAAAUCCGGGAGGUAAUGGAAAUUAAAUUGGAAAUAUUCAGUGAGGGCUCUUCGAUGGUCUUCAAGAGUCUUCCAUGCAUCCAAGUCUUACAUUUUUUGCUUGGUAGAAUGUUUGCUACAGUCCAAUCAAAUACGUUUUGUCGGUGCCAAUCAUUUGACAGAUAGCGACAGGCUUACCUCGUCGUCCAAUGCAACAGAUGAUAGGGGAAAUCCGCAUCUCCAAGGAGCCUUGAAUCGAGGGAUCUCUCAGGAAGGUGUGGAAGAUUUUGCAGGAGCUUAGACGCUUCCUUCUGCGCGUUACACUCAUCCUCUGUCCCCACAUAUGGAAUACACCCCUAUACUCUCUUUGAGAAACUCCUCCCCCAUUCUUAUUCAAUAAAAUAAACAUUCAUGUUUGUGUUUAGUAUCAAAA